UACGUAGGGGGCGAGCGUUGUCCGGAUUUAUUGGGCGUAAAGAGCUCGUAGGUGGUUUGGUAAGUCGGAUGUGAAAUCUCCAGGCUCAACCUGGAGGGGUCAUUCGAUACUGCCAUGACUAGAGUUCGGUAGGGGAGUGUGGAAUUUCUGGUGGAGCGGUGAAAUGCGCAGAUAUCAGGAGGAACACCCGUAGCGAAGGCGGCACUCUGGGCCGAUACUGACACUGAGGAGCGGAAGGCGUGGGGAGGCGAACAGG
This 256-nucleotide ribosomal RNA is filed under the name uncultured bacterium. Its description in RNAcentral is "partial 16S ribosomal RNA". It matches the Rfam family "Bacterial small subunit ribosomal RNA", at positions 524 to 776 of the family's 1533-position model. The record is from RNAcentral.